Molecule: ribosomal RNA, 466 nt
Filed under: uncultured bacterium
Lineage: Bacteria
Description: partial 16S ribosomal RNA
Rfam family: Bacterial small subunit ribosomal RNA
Source: RNAcentral
GAUGAACGCUGGCGGCGUGCUUAACACAUGCAAGUCGAACGGAAAGGCCCAAGCUUGCUUGGGUGCUCGAGUGGCGAACGGGUGAGUAACACGUGGGUGAUCUGCCCUGCACUUUGGGAUAAGCCUGGGAAACUGGGUCUAAUACCGGAUAGGACCAUCGUUUAGUGUCGGUGGUGGAAAGUUUUUCGGUGUGGGAUGAGCUCGCGGCCUAUCAGCUUGUUGGUGGGGUAAUGGCCUACCAAGGCGUCGACGGGUAGCCGGCCUGAGAGGGUGUACGGCCACAUUGGGACUGAGAUACGGCCCAGACUCCUACGGGAGGCAGCAGUGGGGAAUAUUGCACAAUGGGCGCAAGCCUGAUGCAGCGACGCCGCGUGGGGGGUGACGGCCUUCGGGUUGUAAACUCCUUUCGCCAAGGACGAAGCGUUUUGUGACGGUACUUGGAGAAGAAGCACCGGCUAACUACGUG